RNA transcript from Fragaria vesca subsp. vesca, 2942 nucleotides. It is a transcript of the gene named 2-oxoglutarate dehydrogenase, mitochondrial-like, with no coding region annotated. The transcript is spliced from 11 exons. Lineage: Eukaryota; Viridiplantae; Streptophyta; Magnoliopsida; Rosales; Rosaceae. The record is from RefSeq and is a predicted model, not a curated record.
ACAUUUAGAAAUUCUGAAAAAAAAUUGGUUGGGUACAGAAGCUUCACACAAACCGAUUAGGGUUGCCGUGUCCUCCUUCUAUCUCUGGCUUUUUCAUCAUCAGCUAUGAGGUGGUUUAGAGCAGGGGCUGGUCUGGCAAAGCUUGCUGUUAGGAGGUCGUUAUCGACUAGCGGAUCCUAUACUGUGACAAGAUGUGUUGCUCCGGCGCACAAUCAGUACUUACACACCACGAUAUGCAAGUUCCUCGGCCGGUUCUGCUUUCUAGCUUACUGAUAGUUUUUUGGAUGGGACCAGCAGUGUGUAUUUGGAAGGGCUUCAGAGGGCCUGGGAAGCUGACCCCAAUAGCGUUGAUGAUGAGUCGUGGGCUUCCUCCCUUUCUCGAAGGUUGUGAAACUCUCAUUCCUGGUAUGAAGGAGAUGUUUGAUAGGGCAGCAGAUAUUGGGGCUGAGAGCAUAGUUAUUGGAAUGCCUCACAGAGGAAGACUGAAUGUAUUGGGUAAUGUGGUCCGAAAGCCUUUGUGUCAGAUAUUUAGUGAAUUCAGUGGUGGCACAAAGCCAGUAGAUGAAGUUGGGCUCUACACAGGGACUGGUGAUGUCAAGUACCACUUGGGAACUUCUUAUGAUCGACCCACUAGAGGUGGGAAGAGAAUUCAUCUAUCUCUUGUUGCAAAUCCAAGUCACUUGGAAGCAGUGGAUCCAGUUGUCAUUGGAAAAACAAGAGCGAAGCAAUAUUAUUUCAAAUGAUGUGGACAGAACCAAGAAUAUGGGGGUUUUGAUUCAUGGAGAUGGUAACUUUGCCGGACAGGGAGUGGUCUAUGAGACUCUGCAUCUUAGUGCUCUUCCUAAUUACACCACUGGUGGGAUUAUACACAUUGUGGUGAACAACCAAGUUGCCUUCACGACUGACCCAAUGUCUUGUAGAUCUUCAGAGUACUGCACUGAUGUUGCUAAAGCCUUGAACGCCCCUAUUUUCCAUGUUAAUGCUGAUGACAUGGAGGCAGUUGUUCAUGUCUGUGAGCUAGCAGCCGAGUGGUGCCAGACUUUCCAUUCUGAUGUUGUAGUUGAUUUAGCGUGUUAUCGUCGCUUUGGGCACAAUGAGAUUGAUGGGCCAUCAUUUACGCAGCCCAAAACGUACAAAGUUAUCAGGAAUCAUCCAAACCCUCUAACUAUUUACAAAAACAAACUUUUAGAGUCUGGACAGGUGACUCAAGAAGAUAUUGAGAGGAUACAGAGCAAGGUUACUACAAUUCUAAAUGAAGAGUUCUUAGCUAGCAAAGAUUACCUUCCUCAAAGAAGGGACUGGCUUUCAUCCCAUUGGUCCAGGUUCAAGUCACCGGAACAGCUUUCUCAUAUCCGUAAUACUGGUGUAAAACCCAAUAUUUUGAAGAGUAUUGGUAAAGCUAUCACAGCCCUACCAGAAAAUUUUAAACCUUACAGGGCAUUAAAGAAGGUAUAUGGAGCAAGUGCGCAAAUGAUUGAGACUGGUGAAGGCAUCGACUGGGCUGUUGGAGAGGCACUUGCCAUUGCUACACUGCUAGUAGAAGGUAACCAUGUACGAUUGAGUGGACAGGAUGUUGAGAGAGGUACAUUCAGUCAUCAGACAUGCUGUACUUCACGAUCAGGAAACGGGGCAAAGGUAUUGCCCUCUGGACCAUGUUAUUGCGAACCAAGAUGAGGAGAUGUUUACGGUUAGCAACAGCUCACUGUUGGAGUUUGGUGUUCUUGGAUUUGAAUUGGGUUACUCGAUGGAGAAUCCAAACACAUUGGUGAUUUGGGAAGCUCAAUUUGGAGAUUUUGCAAAUGGGGCUCAAGUUAUUUUUGAUCCUUAUCAGUUUUUGAGUAGCGGGGAGUCAAAGUGGCUUCGCAAAACUGGGCUUGUUUUACUGCUUCCACAUGGUUAUGAUGGUCAGGGACCUGAACAUUCUAGUGCACGAUUGGAGCGCUUUCUUCAGAUGAGUGAUGACAAUCCUUAUGUCAUACCUGAGAUGGAUCCUACACUUUGGAAGCAAAUUCAGGAAUGCAAUUGGCAGGUUGUGAAUGUGACCACUCCUGCUAAUUAUUUCCAUGUCCUUUGUCGUCAGAUAAACAGGGAGUUCCACAAGCCUCUUGUUGUGAUGGCUCCUAAAAACUUACUUCGGCACAAGGACUGCAAAUCAAAUUUAUCUGAGUUUGAUGAUGUUCAAGGCCACCCAGGUUUUGACAAGCAUUGAACCUGAUUUAAGCGCCUCAUUAAGGAUCAAAAUGACCACUCUGAUCUGGAGGAGUGUAUUAGAAGGCUUGUUAUUUGCUCUGGGAAGAUUUACUAUGAGAUUGAUGAGGAGCGAAGAAAGGCCAAUGCAAAGGACGUUGCAAUAUGUAGAGUGGAACAGCUUUGCCCCUUCCCAUAUGACCUCAUCCAGUGAGAGGUGAAGCGAUAUUCAAAUGCUGAGAUAGUUUGGUGCCAGGAAGAGCCAAUGAACAUGGUUGCCUACAACUGCAUUGCACCUCGCGUACGCACUGCCAUGAAGUUGUUGAGCAGAGGAACUAUCGAUGACAUCAAAUACAUUGGCCGUGCUCCAUCUGCUGCCACAGCCACCGGUUUCUAUCAAUUUCACCUCAAGGAACAAGCAGACAUUGUGCAUAAAUCAGUGCAGCCGGAGCCAAUCGAUUAAAUUGAUUUAAGCAAGGGCCUAACUGUUGAAAAUCAUACAAUGAUGUACUUGCUUAGAUUAUUGUAUGAAAUGUCCUGAAUCUGUUGAUUCAAAACAAUUGCUUUUGAUAUAUUUGGAGGAUCUAGCCACCAUGGUAUCCCAUGCAUGCAAGUUAAAUGCUGCUUUGUAAGAACACUGGCUUGGUAACUUUGAAUUGCUUUUCUUUUGUUUAUUUAUUUAUUUACACUCUCAGAGAAUCUGAUUUUGAGUACAUUGUAUCAGAAAUGUUUGAAAUGGAAAAAAAGUUCCAGUC